GACGAACGCUGGCGGCGUGCUUAACACAUGCAAGUCGAACGGAAAGGCCCUGCUUUUGUGGGGUGCUCGAGUGGCGAACGGGUGAGUAACACGUGAGUAACCUGCCCUUGACUUUGGGAUAACUUCAGGAAACUGGGGCUAAUACCGGAUAGGAGCUCCUGCUGCAUGGUGGGGGUUGGAAAGUUUCGGCGGUUGGGGAUGGACUCGCGGCUUAUCGGCUUGUUGGUGGGGUAGUGGCUUACCAAGGCUUUGACGGGUAGCCGGCCUGAGAGGGUGACCGGGCACAUUGGGACUGAGAUACGGCCCAGACUCCUACGGGAGGCAGCAGUGGGAAAUAUUGCACAAUGGGCGGAAGCCUGAUGCAGCAACGCCGCGUGCGGGAUGACGGCCUUCGGGUUGUAAACCGCUUUCGCCUGUGACGAAGCGUGAGUGACGGUAAUGGGUAAAGAAGCACCGGCUAACUACGUG
Molecule: ribosomal RNA, 468 nt
Filed under: uncultured bacterium
Lineage: Bacteria
Description: partial 16S ribosomal RNA
Rfam family: Bacterial small subunit ribosomal RNA
Source: RNAcentral